GAUGAACGCUGGCGGCGUGCCUAAUACAUGCAAGUCGAGCGAACAGACGAGGAGCUUGCUCCUCUGACGUUAGCGGCGGACGGGUGAGUAACACGUGGAUAACCUACCUAUAAGACUGGGAUAACUUCGGGAAACCGGAGCUAAACCGGUAAAUAUUUUUGAACCCAUGGUUUCAUUGUUAAAGACCGUUUUUCUGGUACCUAUUAGUGGAUCCGCGCCGCAUUAGCUAGUUGGUAAGGUAACGGCUUACCAAGGCAACGAUGCGUAGCCGACCUGAGAGGGUGAUCGGCCACACUGGAACUGAGACACGGUCCAGACUCCUACGGGAGGCAGCAGUAGGGAAUCUUCCGCAAUGGGCGAAAGCUUGACGGAGCAACGCCGCGUGAGUGAUGAAGGUCUUCGGAUCGUAAAACUCUGUUAUUAGGGAAGAACAAAUGUGUAAGUAACUAUGCACGUCUUGACGGUACCUAAUCAGAAAGCCACGGCUAACUACGUG
Molecule: ribosomal RNA, 496 nt
Filed under: uncultured bacterium
Lineage: Bacteria
Description: partial 16S ribosomal RNA
Rfam family: Bacterial small subunit ribosomal RNA
Source: RNAcentral